GCCCGGGUAGCUCAGUUGGAUAGAGCAGCGCUUUCCUAAAGCGCAGGUCGUGCGUUCGAGCCGCACCCCGGGUG
This 74-nucleotide transfer RNA is filed under the name Phycisphaerae bacterium. Its description in RNAcentral is "tRNA-Arg". It matches the Rfam family "tRNA". From Rfam's summary of the family: Transfer RNA (tRNA) molecules are approximately 80 nucleotides in length. Their secondary structure includes four short double-helical elements and three loops (D, anti-codon, and T loops). Further hydrogen bonds mediate the characteristic L-shaped molecular structure. tRNAs have two regions of fundamental functional importance: the anti-codon, which is responsible for specific mRNA codon recognition, and the 3' end, to which the tRNAs corresponding amino acid is attached (by aminoacyl-tRNA synthetases). tRNAs cope with the degeneracy of the genetic code in two manners: having more than one tRNA (with a specific anti-codon) for a particular amino acid; and 'wobble' base-pairing, i.e. permitting non-standard base-pairing at the 3rd anti-codon position. RNAcentral also lists the same sequence under 1 other name. Lineage: Bacteria; Pseudomonadati; Planctomycetota; Phycisphaerae. The record is from RNAcentral.